This 497-nucleotide ribosomal RNA is filed under the name uncultured bacterium. RNAcentral's name for it is "partial 16S ribosomal RNA". It matches the Rfam family "Bacterial small subunit ribosomal RNA", at positions 28 to 507 of the family's 1533-position model. The record is from RNAcentral.
GAUGAACGCUGGCGGCGUGCCUAAUACAUGCAAGUCGAGCGAACAGACGAGGAUCUUGCUCCUCUGACGUUAGCGGCGGACGGGUGAGUAACACGUGGAUAACCUACCUAUAAGACUGGGAUAACUUCGGGAAACCGGAGCUAAUACCGGAUAAUAUAUUGAACCGCAUGGUUCAAUAGUGAAAGACGGGUUUGCUGUCCCUUAUAGAUGGAUCCGCGCUGCAUUAGCUAGUUGGUAAGGUAACGGCUUACCAAGGCAACGAUGCGUAGCCGACCGGAGAGGGUGAUCGCCGACACUGGAACUGAACCACGGUCCAGACUCCUACGGGAGGCAGCAGUAGGGAAUCUUCCGCAAUGGGCGAAAGCCUGACGGAGCAACGCCGCGUGAGUGAUGAAGGUCUUCGGAUCGUAAAACUCUGUUAUUAGGGAAGAACAAAUGUGUAAGUAACUAUGCACGUCUUGACGGUACCUAAUCAGAAAGCCACGGCUAACUACGUG